Molecule: small RNA, 381 nt
Filed under: Pongo abelii (Sumatran orangutan)
Lineage: Eukaryota; Metazoa; Chordata; Mammalia; Primates; Hominidae
Description: retained intron
Source: RNAcentral
GGUGGAGGGGCGGGCAGGCAGGGUGGGGGCCACAGGGAGGUGGGGGCAUUUCAGCUGUGGGCAGAGAUGAAGUCCCUGGACGCCUAAGCCUCUUGCUGCUUCUCCAGCUGCCACUGCCCCUGAUGGAACUCAUGGAGAAUGAAGCUCUGGAAAUCCUCACCAAAGCCCUCCGGAGCUACCAGUUAGGGAUCGGCAGGGACCACUUCCUGACUAAGGAGCUGCAGCGAUACAUCGAGGGGCUCAAGAAGCGCCGGAGCAAGAGGCUGUACGUGAAUUAAAAACGCCACCUUGGGCUCGAGCAGCGACCCGAACCAGCCCCGCGCCUGCCCGGUCCCCAGACCCAAGCCCGACCCCAUCCGAGUGGAAUUUGAGUCCUAAAGA